Microbotryomycetes sp. JL221 is the source of this 93-nucleotide non-coding RNA. NCBI's taxonomy places the organism in Eukaryota, Fungi, Basidiomycota, Microbotryomycetes. The record is from the annotation of a GenBank genome assembly.
GCCGCGGUAGUGUAGUGGUUAACAUGCGUCGUUCGGGUGUUUUUGACGCUCUUGAAUUCGACGAGGUCCCGGGUUCAAAUCCCGGCUGCGGCC